CGCUGGCGGCGCGCCUAACACAUGCAAGUCGAACGAGAGAUGAGGAGCUUGCUCUUCAAAUCGAGUGGCGAACGGGUGAGUAACGCGUGAGGAACCUGCCUCAAAGAGGGGGACAACAGUUGGAAACGACUGCUAAUACCGCAUAAGCCCACGGCUCGGCAUCGAGCAGAGGGAAAAGGAGCAAUCCGCUUUGAGAUGGCCUCGCGUCCGAUUAGCUAGUUGGUGAGGUAAUGGCCCACCAAGGCGACGAUCGGUAGCCGGACUGAGAGGUUGAACGGCCACAUUGGGACUGAGACACGGCCCAGACUCCUACGGGAGGCAGCAGUGGGGAAUAUUGCACAAUGGGGGAAACCCUGAUGCAGCGACGCCGCGUGGAGGAAGAAGGUCUUCGGAUUGUAAACUCCUGUUGUUGAGGAAGAUAAUGACGGUACUCAACAAGGAAGUGACGGCUAACUACGUG
Molecule: ribosomal RNA, 460 nt
Filed under: uncultured bacterium
Lineage: Bacteria
Description: bacterial SSU rRNA
Rfam family: Bacterial small subunit ribosomal RNA
Source: RNAcentral